RNAcentral lists this ribosomal RNA (480 nucleotides) under Ictonyx striatus (striped polecat). Its description in RNAcentral is "partial 16S ribosomal RNA". The stretch from base 136 to 480 matches the Rfam family "Bacterial large subunit ribosomal RNA", at positions 573 to 1053 of the family's 2925-position model. Lineage: Eukaryota; Metazoa; Chordata; Mammalia; Carnivora; Mustelidae. The record is from RNAcentral.
CUAGCCCAACCGCUAUCUAACUAUAACACAACAUCAAAUUAAAACAUUCAAUUACGCCAUUAUAGUAUAGGAGAUAGUAAUUCUGUUUGGAGCUAUAGAGGGAGUCCCUCAAGGGGACGAUGAAAGGACAAUUUAAAGUGGUAAACAGCAUAGAUUACCCCUUAUACCUUUUGCAUAAUGAGCUAGCUAGUGCAAUUUAUCGAAGAGACCUUCAGCUAGCCACCCCGAAACCAGACGAGCUACCCAUGAACAAUCCACAGGGAUAAACUCAUCUAUGUCGCCAAAUAGUGAGAAGAUUUAUAGGUAGAGGUGAAAAGCCCAACGAGCCUGGUGAUAGCUGGUUGCCCAGAACAGAAUCUCAGUUCAACUUUAAAUUUACCUAGUAAACUUAAAAUUGUAAUGUAAAUUUAAAAUAUACUCUAAAAAGGUACAGCUUUUUAGAAUUAGGAUAAAACCUUACUUACAGAGUAAAGUCUAACG